RNA transcript from Canis lupus familiaris (dog), 4898 nucleotides. It is a transcript of the gene named DDB1 and CUL4 associated factor 16, with no coding region annotated. The record is from RefSeq and is a predicted model, not a curated record. Lineage: Eukaryota; Metazoa; Chordata; Mammalia; Carnivora; Canidae. The transcript is spliced from 4 exons.
GCCGCCCGGAAGUGAUGUAAGCCGCGCGACUAGGCGAACGGCGGAGCCGCUGUGCGGGAGUCGCUGGUUCGGUGCGGCCCGGCGGGGCGAGGAGGAGGAAAGCAUCCCGCAGGAGAGAGAGAGAGGCAGAGACACAGGCAGAGGGAGAAGCAGGCUCCAUGCACCGGGAGCCCGACGUGGGAUUCGAUCCCGAGUCUCCAGGAUCGCGCCCUGGGCCAAAGGCAGGCACCAAACCACUGCGCCACCCAGGGAUCCCUCGUGUAUUAUAGUCUAUUAACGGCAUAGUUUUACAUUCUCACGUAGAUCUUUCAUUGAACAUGAGUCCUCCUUUGUAUGUGGCAGUAUGUAGGUAUACAGUUUGGUUUUUCUUGUGAGGAGCCAGCUUUGCCAAUAUUUUGUACUAACUGCGUUCGAUCCCCCUUGAUUUACAUGCUAACUUUAUUUUGUACUACAUUCCACAACUUUGUGUGGCUGCGUUUCUGAGUUUUGUUCUGUACAAUUGGACUAUUUGUCCAAUAUACUAACUCUACCAUAUUUUAAUUUCUGUGACUUUUGUAAUAUGUGUUAAUAUCUUGUAGGCCAAGAAUCCCCUUCAAUCUUCAGUUUAAAUAAUGGGGGUCGCUGCAUGGGGAAUUUUAUUCUCUCCAUAUUGAGAUUGUAUAAAUCAAUUUGGAAAAACUUUUUAUAAUAUUCAUUUGUUCCAUCCAAGAUGUUUAAAUCAUUUUCUAUGUCCUUUAUUAGAAUUUUUUAUUCUUCAUAGAGGUCUUAUAUAUUAUUAAAUAGUUUCUAGAUACUUGAUAGGUUUGAUGUUGUUGGAUUUUUUUUCCUCAUUGUGAAAGAUUUAUAUGUCAUGCUUUUUUUAGUUAGUAUUGUUUGUAUAGAAGUUUUUAACUUAAAAGUACCUGUGUUCAAAUCCACACUCUGUCACUUAGUAGAAAUAUGGCCUUGGGCACGUAGCUUAAAUUUCAUGUGUAAAAUGAGGGCAGUUAAAGUACCUCUCUUGUAGGGUUAUUAGGAGAAUUUUAAAUAAAUUAACAUUGGCAGUUCCUAUAUACUAUAAUGAUAAUUAAUGAAUAUCCAUAGAUUAAUCUCAAAUCAAGAACUUUGUUGAGCUCUUUUAGUAACUCUAAUUGUUUCUUUUAUUUUUUUUUUAAUUUUAUUUAUUUAUUCCUGAGAGACAGAGAGAGAGGGAGGCAGGCUCCAUGUGGGGAGCCUGAUGUGAGACUCGAUCCCAAGACUCGAGGAUCACACCCUGAGCCGAAGGCAGGCGCUAAACCACUGAGCCACCCGGGGGUCCCCUAACUGUUUCAAUGUCAGCUUUCUUAAAUUAGAUUACCGUAUUAUUUGUAAAUAAUAAUGGGGACCUGAUGCAGGACUCGAUCCCAGAUCCCGGGGUCACAACCUGGGCCGAAGGUGGGCACCCAGCGGGCGCCCAACCGCUGAGCCCCCCCAGGCGUCCCUAUAAAUUUCUUUGAGGUUGAGGUGUUCUUCCCUUCCCUUAUCCUGGGGAUAAGCUCUAUAAGCAUAUUCUUUACCUUUUAUUUGAUCUGCUAUUGGAUUUUAUUACGUAAUAUUGGAAAUUUUGCAAGUGAAAUGAGCCUGUACUUUUUUAUUUGGUUCCUCUCUAGGUUUGUAAUUAAUAUUUUAUUAUCAUCAUAAAAGGAGCUUGUCAGCUUAUAUGAUUUUUUUUUUUUCUGGAACAACUUAAAUAGGUAUUAAUUUUCUUGGAAGUUUAGUGGAACUCAUUUAUAAAAUUAUAUGGGCCUGGUGCUUUUAAAAGGAGGUUGGUGCCUUUUCAUUUUCUUUAACACAUACUGGCUUGUUCUAGUCAAGUUAUCUAUUUCCUCCUGUGUGAGUUUUGGUAUUUUAUUCCAGAAUUCAGCCAUUUCAUUUAGGUUUUCACAUUUAGUAUAUAUUUGUCAUAUUUUUUAUUUUUAAACACUUUUUGUGUUUUUAAGUCACUUGAUGAGUUUCACUAGUCACUUUUUCUUAUAUCUUCAAAAAAAUUUUCAGUCUUCUGUUAUUCUCAUAUGUAUGCUAUUUCAUUUCUGCUUUUAUUUCCUUUCUGCUUAUUUUGCUAUUGCUCUUUUCCAUUAUUUUUUUUAAGAUUUUAUUCAUUUGUCCACGAGAGAUACACAGAGAGAGAGGCAGAGACACAGACAGAGGGAGAAGCAGGCUCCCUGCAGGGAUCCCAAUGAGGGACUCGAUCCCGGGACUCCGGGGUCACGACCUGAGCCAAAGGCAGAUGCUCAACCACUGAGCCACCCAGGCGUCCUCUUUUCCGUUAUUUUGAAUUGAAUGCUUAACUUGUAGAUACUUAAAUUUCCUCAUCGGUGUAUUCAGAGCUGUAACUUCCUUUAAGUACUAGUUUGGCCGCCUCCCACAAAUUUUGCCUUGUAUAGUUUAUAUUAUUCGGUUUUAGUAUUUAAUAUCCUUUUCAAUUUCCAUUUUAACCCAUGAGUUAAUUAGCUUCCCAACAUAGAGUUGCUUUUAAAUAACCUUUAAUACCUACUUUUAUUGCAUUUUGGUCAGAGAAUUUCGUCUGAAUGAAAUAGACCCUUUGGAAUCUAUAACCUAAUACGUGAUCUAUUUCUUGUGCGUGUAUGUGUACUCUCAGAUGUCUAACCUGUUUGGCAUAGAGUCCUGACAACUGAUGUAAUACAUAAAGUACAUUAAUAUUUUGACUGUUUUUCAGGCUUCUUAUAUCCCCUGCUUAUAUAGUUCUGUCAGUUGUUACCUGAAAAUUUUUGAGAUUGUGCUUUCAGGGUCAUACAUGUAUAUGAUGAGUACUAUAAUUUUAUUCUGUUCCUUUCACUGGUGUAAUUGUCCAUCUUUGUCCCUUAUAUUUUAUGGCUUGAAAUCUUUUUUGUUGGGUAUUAAGAUUGCUAUCUCAGCUUUAUCUUGGUCCACAGUUGCCUAUUACAUCUUUUUUCAUUCUUUUAUUUUUUUUUUACCUUUUUCUUUUUUUUUUGAAGUAUCUUCUGUUGCAUUAUUAUUGAAUCUUGUUUUUUUUAAUCCAGUCUGUCUGUUUUUUAACUGUGAGUUUAACCUGUUUACAUUCAUUGUAGUUUCUACUAUAUUAAGAAUUACACCUGGAAAAAAAAAAGAUUUAUACCUGCCAUUUUCUCUCGUAUCUAUAGAUUAUGGUUAUAAUGACCACAGCCUUUGGGUCCCAGCAAGAGCCCUAACGUCUAGCAGCUCUACAGCCAGGACAGGUCCCCUAAACUAAUCCCAACAAGCACAUCUAAAGGGAAAGAACUACCUCUUAUAGCUCUCUAUCUGGAGUUUGGGUCAUCAAGGAACUGCUUUUGAAGAAGUAAUUUUCUGGGCUAGAACAGUAUACUAAAGAAUAAACUGACCCAGCUAUGUACCAAGAAGAGAUGAAAAUGACCUCAGGCUCUGCUUCCCAGGAGUCAUUCCCAAUAGAAAAUUCUGCCUGAGUCUAUGAAAUAGAGAUGGGAAAGCCCAGUAAGGGUUCUUAUUUAGCAUCCGUGUUCUUAGAUACUCAAUAAAGUUAGAUGGACAGUAAUGUUACUCAUUGCUUUCAGACUUUAAUAUCAUUUCUCUAGUCUUCUCAUUCACAGGUUAAAGCUACCUUUCCAGAUAGUUCAACAACUAAGUCACCAGUUUCCAAGGGCAUUUGCACCAUCCAUGGAAAGCAUCGGAUCUGUGUACACCAGAUGUCCUUGACAACUCAUCCCGCCGUCUCCCUGCACAAAAUUUGCACCACCAGUGGACAACAAAGGCAACCAUUGUUUCUUUUCUUUACCAAGUAGAUAUAAUAUCUCUACCAACAAAACAAUACACAAAGUGUCUCUUCCCAGUAUCAAGACCAGUUGAGACCACUAAGAAAAUCAGCUUUCCUAGAUGAGGACCCCUUCUCUUCUUGGGUAGCCAGGAUUUGAAGGAGAGACUCUGACCUGUACAACUGGUCACUCAUCCCACUUUGCAGCCGAAGCUGGGAGGCUUAUCCUCUGGACAGAUCAAACCGAGCAGAUUAGAACCCGGCCUCGGGGAGAGCAGUGGUGGUGUGAGGUGCUCCACUGAAAACCGGGGAUUGAGAGAAUGUCGGCAUUGUGAUCACGCGCCCUCCAGCCUCCUCCAGGCCGCCUCAGAAUCUGGCAGCUGGGCUCAGGCCCAGCCCUGCCCACCUCACCCAGAGAGAGGAGCAAUUCUACAAACAACGUGCCACCUGAUGAUCUGUUACAAUGAAACCCGGAGUCACAAGGCCUGCCCACUCCUAUGUGGCUCUGAGUCUCGUGAUCAUGAUAAACUGAUAGCCAAGGGUCAAUACAUAUUUGAGGGUAACUUCAAGAAUGAGAUAUGGAGACUAAAACAACUAAAAUAACCUAAAACAAACAAACCCAAAACCUGGAAAUAACGCAAGGGCCAUAGAACUCCCCAGAGAAGCUAUGAUACUCUCAGACACAGGAGAAUAUACUGCAUCCGUGAAGUAAGAACAGGAUGCUGGGGAAAAAAUGAACAAUCAGAAAAUACAAAUAUUGGAAAAAUACGGCUUGAAUUAAGCAUUCAGUAGGUGUAUUGGAAGAUAAGGUGAAGAAAUUUCAGAAAGUAGAACAAAAAGACGGAGGUGGAAAAUAGAGAAGGAAAAAAAAAAUCAGAAGAUCAGAACGGCACGCAACAUCUGAUUAGUAAGAGCUCCAAAAUGAGACGAGAGAAGGGGGGUGAAAAGAGAACAAAAUUAAAGAACAUUUCUCCAAAAUGUAGGAUACGGGUCACGUAAAUUAAGAGGAUCCACCAAGUGCCCGGCACAAUGAAUCAAACACACAGAAGCAUACCCUGAGACUUCAGGACGCCGAGAAUAAAGACCCUAAUCGCUUCCAAAGGGGAUGAAACAAGAGUCACAUGAAAGGAGGCCGCUGGAGAAUGUGCUUCAC